This is a non-coding RNA of Phrynosoma platyrhinos (Desert horned lizard), 72 nucleotides long. The record is from the annotation of a GenBank genome assembly. NCBI's taxonomy places the organism in Eukaryota, Metazoa, Chordata, Lepidosauria, Squamata, Phrynosomatidae.
GCCAGUGUGGUCUGGUGGUUUGAGUGUUGGACCAUGACUCUGGAGACCAGGGUUCGAAUCCCAACUCAGCCA